UGGGGUAUGGUGUAACGGUAACACGGCUGAUUCUGGAUCAGUUGUUCUUGGUUCGAAUCCAGGUACCCCAG
RNAcentral lists this transfer RNA (71 nucleotides) under Candidatus Lumbricidiphila eiseniae. RNAcentral's name for it is "Candidatus Lumbricidophila eiseniae tRNA-Gln". It matches the Rfam family "tRNA". Rfam says of the family: Transfer RNA (tRNA) molecules are approximately 80 nucleotides in length. Their secondary structure includes four short double-helical elements and three loops (D, anti-codon, and T loops). The record is from RNAcentral. Lineage: Bacteria; Bacillati; Actinomycetota; Actinomycetes; Micrococcales; Microbacteriaceae.